AGAGUUUGAUCCUGGCUCAGAUUGAACGCUGGCGGCAUGCCUUACACAUGCAAGUCGAACGGUAACGCGGGGGCAACCCUGGCGACGAGUGGCGAACGGGUGAGUAAUACAUCGGAACAUAUCCAGUAGCGGGGGAUAACCUAUCGAAAGAUGGACUAAUACCGCAUACGAUCUACGGAUGAAAGCAGGGGACCGCAAGGCCUUGCACUAUUGGAGCGGCCGAUGUCGGAUUAGCUAGUUGGUGGGGUAAAAGCCUACCAAGGCGACGAUCCGUAGCUGGUCUGAGAGGACGAUCAGCCACACUGGAACUGAGACACGGUCCAGACUCCUACGGGAGGCAGCAGUGGGGAAUUUUGGACAAAGGGCGCAAGCCUGAUCCAGCCAUGCCGCGUGAGUGAAGAAGGCCUUCGGGUUGUAAAGCUCUUUCGGUGAAGACGAAACGGUUCAUGCUAAUAACGUGAACUAAUGACGGUACUCACAUAAGAAGCACCGGCUAACUACGUGCCAGCAGCCGCGGUAAUACGUAGGGUGCAGGCGUUAAUCGGAAUUACUGGGCGUAAAGCGUGCGCAGGCGGUUUGCUAAGACAGGUGUGAAAUCCCCGGGCUUAACCUGGGAAUUGCGCUUGUAACUGGCAAGCUAGAGUGUGGCAGAGGGGGGUGGAAUUCCACGUGUAGCAGUGAAAUGCGUAGAUAUGUGGAGGAACACCGAUGGCGAAGGCAGCCCCCUGGGUUAACACUGACGCUCAUGCACGAAAGCGUGGGGAGCAAACAGGAUUAGAUACCCUGGUAGUCCACGCCCUAAACUAUGUCAACUAGUUGUCGGGGAAGAAAUUCCUUGGUAACGAAGCUAACGCGUGAAGUUGACCGCCUGGGGAGUACGGCCGCAAGGUUAAAACUCAAAGGAAUUGACGGGGACCCGCACAAGCGGUGGAUUAUGUGGAUUAAUUCGAUGCAACGCGAAAAACCUUACCUACCCUUGACAUGCUAGGAAGCCCGCAGAGAUGUGGGUAUGCCCGAAAGGGAACCUAGACACAGGUGUUGCAUGGCUGUCGUCAGCUCGUGUCGUGAGAUGUUGGGUUAAGUCCCGCAACGAGCGCAACCCUUGCCAUUAGUUGCUACAUUCAGUUGGGCACUCCAAUGGGACCGCCGGUGACAAACCGGAGGAAGGUGGGGAUGACGUCAAGUCCUCAUGGCCCUUAUGGGUAGGGCUUCACACGUAAUACAAUGGUCGGUACAGAGGGCUGCCAACCCGCAAGGGGGGAGCUAAUCCCAGAAAGCCGAUCGUAGUCCGGAUUGUAGUCUGCAACUCGACUGCAUGAAGCCGGAAUCGCUAGUAAUCGCGGAUCAGCAUGUCGCGGUGAAUACGUUCCCGGGUCUUGUACACACCGCCCGUCACACCAUGGGAGUGGGUUCCACCAGAAGUAGUUAGCCUAACCGCAAGGAGGGCGAUUACCACGGUGAGAUUCAUGACUGGGAUGAAGUCGUAACAAGGUA
This 1494-nucleotide ribosomal RNA is filed under the name metagenome. RNAcentral's name for it is "bacterial SSU rRNA". It matches the Rfam family "Bacterial small subunit ribosomal RNA". The record is from RNAcentral.